CCCUUAGAUGCUCUGGGCCGCACGCGCGCUACACUGGUCGAUGCAACGAGUUUCUUUCCUUGGCCGAUAGGUCUGGGUAAUCUUUGAACGCUGUUCGUGAUUGGGAUAGACCUUUGCAAUUAUGGGUCUUCAACGAGGAAUUCCUAGUAAACGCAAGUCAUCAGCUUGCAUUGAUUACGUCCCUGCCCUUUGUACACACCGCCCGUCGCACCUACCGAUUGAAUGGUCCGGUGAAAUCUCGGGACGGCGGCUUGGUCGCUUGCGUCCGACUGCUGAAACUUGAUUAAACCAUAUCAUUUAGAGGAAGGUGAAGUCGUAACA
RNAcentral lists this ribosomal RNA (321 nucleotides) under uncultured eukaryote. RNAcentral describes it as "partial 18S ribosomal RNA". It matches the Rfam family "Eukaryotic small subunit ribosomal RNA", at positions 1470 to 1796 of the family's 1831-position model. The record is from RNAcentral.